Molecule: ribosomal RNA, 497 nt
Filed under: uncultured bacterium
Lineage: Bacteria
Description: partial 16S ribosomal RNA
Rfam family: Bacterial small subunit ribosomal RNA
Source: RNAcentral
GAUGAACGCUGGCGGCGUGCCUAAUACAUGCAAGUCGAGCGAACAGACGAGGAGCUUGCUCCUCUGACGUUAGCGGCGGACGGGUGAGUAACACGUGGAUAACCUACCUAUAAGACUGGGAUAACUUCGGGAAGCCGGAGCUAAUACCGGAUAAUAUAUUGAACCGCAUGGUUCAAUAGUGAAAGACGGUUUUGCCGUCACUUAUAGAUGGAUCCGCGCCGCAUUAGCUAGUUGGUAAGGUAACGGCUUACCAAGGCGACGAUGCGUAGCCGACCUGAGAGGGUGAUCGGCCACACUGGAACUGAGACACGGUCCAGACUCCUACGGGAGGCAGCAGUAGGGAAUCUUCCGCAAUGGGCGAAAGCCUGACGGAGCAACGCCGCGUGAGUGAUGAAGGUCUUCGGAUCGUAAAACUCUGUUAUUAGGGAAGAACAAAUGUGUAAGUAACUAUGCACGUCUUGACGGUACCUAAUCAGAAAGCCACGGCUAACUACGUG